RNAcentral lists this long non-coding RNA (10019 nucleotides) under Daucus carota (carrot). Its description in RNAcentral is "long non-coding RNA (DCAR_LNC004305)". Lineage: Eukaryota; Viridiplantae; Streptophyta; Magnoliopsida; Apiales; Apiaceae. The record is from RNAcentral.
UUAUAAUGUAAAUGACAAAAAUUAAUCUAAGAAAAUAAUGAGAAUUUUCGGAAACACUAUGACUGCUGUCAAGACCCUAAACAGAAACGACUACUCCGCUUUAUGUAUUAAUACCAGGACUUACAGAAACUCAGGUAUCAUCAAUUCACGCGCGGUCGUAAACAAAUAAAAAAAAAAAACAAAAUCCAAACAACCAAAUUAAGACCGCAGUUACAGCUCAGCACCGGAAAACCAAAUUAAUAUAAAACAGAGGAUAGAAGACAUGUGUACACGCGCCACAGUGAGAAAACAAAAUCCUGGAAAGCAAAGCACAUACGCGAAUUCAUAAACAAGCUGUGGAAUAAACAAAAUUUUAGCUGUCUGAUCUAUUUAUAUUUCACCGGAAUCAACUAGAUUUCGCCGGAAAAUUGGUUUGACCGGAAAAUAUAGCUAUUCCAAUUAUUUCUAAUCAAACCCCACUAACCUCUAAACCAAAUUCAACACCAAAUUUUACACUAAAUAACCCCUAAACUACCCAUUUUUGACUCAAGCAAGACUCAAAUUAAACCAUAUCAACUCCAAACUACACCAAAUUUCAAAUCUAGCCUAAACAUAAUAUUUCUAACAUAAACCCACUAACCUCAUUUCGAAAUCACAAAUUAAAAUUUACACCAAAAAGCCCCCAAAAAUACUAAAACCAAGAACAAGAACAAUACCAAAUCCUACCAAACUAACUCCAAAUCAAACAAAACUUCAAAACUAGCUUAUCUACCAUGUAUCUAACAAAACCCCAUCAAACUACAAGCUAAAAUCAAAAUAUAGAAUACUAAACCAUUGAACCCACUAAUAAUAUUGAGAAUUAAAAGGGGCUCAAUCUAAAUACUAAAAAAUGCAAGCUUAAAACAUAUAAUUAGGCUCCUUUCAAUCCACAAGUAAUUUUGAAUCUCAUGUGGUUAGAGAAAGAUUUCAUAGCCUAGAAGUAAAAGUAAAGAGCAAGAUUUAAGAACACAAAUGAAUUCUUGUAUUGAUAUAAUAAAAGUGUUUACAAAUUUAGAGUGCUACUACUAGAUCUACUACAUAAAAGAGAGGCUACUAAAAAUAUGAAAUCCUAGGUAGGUUGAAACAUGAUGGGGAGGUGUGUAUUUAUAGGGGGAAAUUAGGGUAGAGGGGGGUGUAGGUGUCCCAUCUAGAUGCUUCCUUGAGAAUAUUCCCCUAUGAUCCUUUUCUUCCAUCUUUUUCUCUUUUUUGCUUUAUUCUUUUAUUUCUUCAAGCAUUUGCAAUAUUCCUACAAAAAAGACAAAUAAACAAAUAAAUAAGUGAGAACAAGCAAUAAUUAGGCAUUUAAAAUAUACCAAAAUAUGCACUUAUCAAACUUCCCCAUACCUAUAUUUUGCUCGUCCUCGAGUAAAAUCAAAAGAAAAGAAAAUAAACUAAGAAAACUAGAUGCGAUUCCUAGGCUCCUUUUCGUAGGCGUGACGGGUGAUUUUAGGUUCACCAACCCGUUAAACUCGUAGACGAUCUCUACAAGAGGAGUUUUGUCUCCUAAGGGUUUACAGAAGAUAUACCCAUAAAAUCUUUGAGACAUUCUAGCAAGUGUCUACUCGACUCUACUCUAAUUUCGUUGGUGUUAACAAAAAGCGUUUUUAAGGAAAAUACGACUUAAAGACUCAUCUACUAAUAAUCAAGGGGUUUUAUAUCAAAGUGCCCACCGAACUCGUUAAAAUGUAUCAAGUACCUACCUAAUUUCCACGACGACUCAAUUACAAUACUAAAAUCAUUAUAUAUAUCAUGCUGUUAAUUUUUUUUAAUCCCUUAACAGAAAACGUUAAGUCUAACGCUUCUUUUUGCUGUGUUGGCAGACACAUGGAAUAAAAUGGGUCAACAAAAAUAAAAACAAAAAUACAUGCAAUAUACACACACCUGAUCAAAUUCCACUUAUUCGCUCUCUCUUGGGAUAAAACCUCUGGUGGUUUGAAGGUGCUCUGAAGCUACAUCGGUGAUCUUUGAAGGUAAUUAUUCAUCUUUGAAGCUUUGUUUAGUCCAUUAAUUCGAUUACUCAAGGUAUGCUUUAGGGGUUUAUUAGGUUCAGUGAGUUCAUUUGUUGUGGCACUUUACUAUAUUUUGUGCUCUAUUUUUCUCCUAUCACUAUGGAUUUUGUGUACUUUUAGUGUGUUGUUUCUUUGCUAUAUAGGUCAUGUUAGUGGAUUGAAUGAAGUCAUGUGUUUGAUAUCAAAUUAAUUGAUUAAAAUUUUUAUUUGUUCAAACAGUAUGUGUAUUGUGAUACAUAUAGAGGUUAAUCAUCAUGGUGUAUUUGCUUCCCAACCUGAAUGCUAUUAUAUUGGUGGAAAGUCCACAGUGCCAGAAUCCAAAAUUUUAUCUAAAGUAACACCUCUGUUAUGCAUAAUAAGCCAAUGAAGAAAUGAGUAUCGAGGAAUUGCAAGACCAUGCGAUACACCUUUGUACCAAGAAACAGUAGUGCUAGCAUUGCGCAGGUCCACAAAUUUGAAACUUUUAUCGCCCCAAAUCGAAUGCCAUCCCAAGAGAUUUCAUCAUUUUUUUUGUUUUUAUUUUUAUUUACCCAUCUUAUUUCAGGUGUCUGCCAACUCAGCAAAAACAAUGAUAACAAGAGUUAACACUUAACGGUUUCUGUUAACAGAUUAAAAAAAGUUAACAGCAUGAUAUAUAUAAUGAUUUUAGUAUUGUAAUUGAGUCGUCGUGGAGAUUAGGUAGGUACUUGAUACAUUUUAACGAGUUCGGUGGGCACUUUGAUAUAAAACCCAAUAAUCAAGAUACAGUUGUCUCUAAUCUACUUGCAUCGACACAAAGAUUUACUAGAAAUCCAAGGAGUGUAAGUAAUUUAAGGCCUUUGAUGGAUCCUAAUCGUCUAAGAACAUUUUCUCUUUUUCAACCAAUUUUGAACUGACCCAAUCUCUAUCGAAACAAAUAUCUAGCCAAACUUCACAAACUCUUAUUCUUUUUUUUUUUCUCUUUUUUUUUUUGCAUUGACUUUAUUUUGUCCGUUUUCUUAGGCAAACAAUGUUACCCAUGUAGCGAGCUUUAGGUCAGUGACUCCCAAACCAAACGGUCUUAGGGCACUAGGUUUUGAAAUCCCCCUACGGACUUAAUUGCUCGAGUAACAAAGGCCACAAAACGAGACUAGCCAAUCUACUUUUGCCCAUUUAUCUAAAGAUUUUAUCCAUAAAGAACAAUGGGUAUUGAAGUAGUUAUUCCUUUUCUUUUUCUAUCUCUUUUUCUUGUUUUUCUAUUUUUUUUUCUUUUUCUCUUUUUUUAUUCGCAAAGGUUCGAAUCGACAUUGUUUCAACAUGUGGGUUCUCUCUCAGGUAUCGAAUAAUAUCACUAUACAAUCUCUCCAUCAAAGGUCUUGUGCAAAUGUGUGUGCCAUCUUGGAAUGUAAAGUACAAUUCGGUCGAUACAAGCUUCAAAACGACAACCUUACUCAACUACGUUCAAAUUAUCUAAAAGACACUACAUAUAUAUUGUUUUCGAAAACAUGCUAACACCAAUUACUCCUAAAGUUCGAGUGAGGGAAAGACAACUUAGCUAAAACAUCUCUAUUUUUGGAUUUUUCUAAUUUUUUCAUUUUUUAGGGUUUUUUCAUUUUUUAGAAUUACACUAAAGCCCUCCCCAUACCUAAAUCAUGCAUUGUCCUCAAUGUAUGCAAAAGAUAGAAUUGAAAUGAGAGAGUAAAGAGAAAAAUACCUGAAAUGGAUAUGAAGGGGAUUUUUAUUAACAAACGAAACACUAACACGACCUACGCACGCCACAUUUCCUUCCCCAUACCUGAACUUCAUGGGGGAAGGUUCGAAGACGGAAGCAAAUCAGCCAAUUCCGGAAGGAAAAAUGGGAGGAAGCUUCGAGAAAGAGUCAAAAUGUGUACGAGAAUUUUUAGGCACAAAAACUUUCUCUAGCAUGUGACAAUCAUUCAUCCCUAUAGGACAAGUGUCACUAAUGUUCUUCCUAAACCAACUUAAUGCUUCUUUAUUAUCAAGCAAAUUAGAGAUUAUGCAAUUUUGGUCAUAGGAAAAAUCGCUAGGAACGAUGUAAGAAACGACGUCAUCAUUCCCUAAGGCGCUAUGCGAAUGAUGGAACAACGAGUCAAAUGUAGGUGAUUCACCUACAUGACUCUCGAAAUUGGGCCUAGGGUUAACACUAACAAUCUCGGGUGGAGUCUCCCAUUUUGAACAAAUGUCGUUCAAUUCUCCUAACAACUCCUCCGAGGUUAACUCUCUCAAAGACUCAUGAUAUUCCCUAUUAUUCUCAUGGUUGACUUUGAAAUCCUCAUUCAAAAGAGACUCAAUCUCACUAUCCUCGAAACUAGACCAUGUGACAAACUUGUUGACCACAUUAACCCCUAUAGGUAGCUCAUAAAGCUCAUUGGGUUGUUUUCCUACAUUGAAAAUGUUUAAGUCUAUGGUCAUGUUUCCAAAAGUGAGUUUCAUCGAACCAUUCCUACAAUUAAUUAAGGCAUUGGAUGUAGCAAGAAACGGUCGUCCUAAAAUGAUAGGAAUUUGGUUCUUAGGAUUCGAGACGGGUUGAGUCUCGAGAACAACAAAGUCAACGGGAAAGAUAAAAUCACCGAUUUUGAUCAACACAUCCUCAAUAAUCCCCUUUGGCAUUUUAAUAGAACGAUCGGCAAGUUGAAGGGUCAUAUUGGUGGUCUUGAGAUCCCCUAAACCUAGGGCUUGGUAGACCGAGAAAGGAAGAAGAUUCACACUCGCUCCUAAAUCAAGUAAAGCUUUAUCCACAAAAGUAUUGCCUAUGACACAAGAAAUUGUAGGACAACCGGGGUCCUUAUAUUUCACGGGAAUUUGAUUCGAGAGAAUCGAGCUUACUUGUGAGGUCAAAAAGGCUUUCUUAGGAACAUGGGUGGUUCUCUUAUGGGUACACAAAUCUUUUAGACACUUAGCAUAAGAAGGAACUUGUUGAAUGGCAUCUAAAAGAGGAAUGUUUAUCUUGACUUGUUUGAAAACCUCUAGAAUUUGUUCCAUUUGGGCCGAUUGUUUAGGGCGAAUGAGUCUUUGUGGGUAAGGAACCUUUGGCUUAUAAACUUCUUCGUUGGGCUUUUGAGAAAUGGGCCCAGGACUAGGUUCACUCAUAGACUCACGGACUCUAGAACAUUCGGGCUUAUCAUGAUUAGUGCUAGACAAAGAAGGAUUUGUUUUAGGAAUCGACUCCUCAUUUUCAUUAACGUUCUCACCAACUUUGUUAUCCACUUGGUUUCCCGACCUUAGAGAAAUAAUCGCAUUAACAUUCUCGGGAGGUCUUUGAUUGAGAGGAAACUUAGGAUUGACCUCGGGUUGACUUGGCAACUUGUUCUUCUCUCGCUCACACAACGCGCUAGCUAAUUGACUCAAUUGGGCCUCUAACUUAGACACGGCUUGCACAUUAGAAUGCAAAAUUUGCCUAUCUUGGGUUAGGGUUGUCAUGAAAGUUUGUUGUGAUUGAGUCAAAUUAGUUUGCGAUUUCACUAAGGCUUCCAAACUCUUUUCUAAGGAAUUGAGGCGUUUAUCCGAAUCAUUGAAACCGGGAGGAUUCAAAGGAGUUUGAAUUGGGUUAUGACAUGAAUUUGGACCUUGAUUUGGGUAAGAGUUUGGGUUGGGCCUUUGUUGAAAAUUUGGUUGAGGAGUUGGAAAAGAAUUUGGCCCUUGAUUUUGAAAAAUUUGACCUUGGGUCCAUGAGAAAUUUGGGUGAUUUCUCCACCCGGGAUUAUAAGUGGGUGCAAACGCAUCAUUCCUAGGAUUUUGAAACAUCGCAUUUACUUGUUCAAGUUCGUGCGAAGGUUGGGUUCCGGGAUUUUGAAAAUUGUAAUUAGGGAGCAUCGACAUUUGUGGGGGAGAUUUACUAGUUUCUAAAGCUUCAAGUCUCCUAGUUAGGGUGGCUAGUUUGGCAUCGGUUGCCACAUUAUUUCCUAUCGAAUGCAAGCCCCUAGCGCUAGAUGACUGAAUUGACUUUUUGGGCUCCCUAGUUGACUCCCACAUCAUAGUCUUUUCCGCUAAAUCCUCAAAAAAUUCCCACCCUUGGUCCUCAUCUUUUUCCAUGAAUUUACCUUGGCACAUAGACUCUAAUAACGCGGUGGUUUGACUAUCUAAGGCCUCGUAAACUAUCUUGCAAAGUCUCCAUUUUUCUAUUCCGUGGUGGGGGCAUUGUGAGAGAAGAUUUUUGAAGCGGUCAAAGAAAAUCCAAAAAGACUCAUUUUCCUUUUGAUGAAAUUGAUUUAUUUCAUUUGUAAUUCGAGUAGUCUUAUGAUUUGGAAAAUACUUUUUUAGAAACACCACAACGAACCCCUCCCACGUGGAAAUAGAAUUAACGGGAAGACUAUAUAACCAUUUUUUCGCAUUCUCCUUAAGCGCAAAAUUAAUGAGCCUAAGUCUAAUCGAAUCUUCCGUUAAUUGGUGGAGCUUUUGGAGGGAACAAACUUCCUCAAAUUCUUGGAUGAAAAGAUAAGGAUCUUCACCCUCACUCCCUAAAAAUUUAGGCAACAUACUAAUGUGAUGUGCUUUAAUCUCGAAAUAAUUCCCAUUGACGGGAGGAAGGGUGAUACACGAAGGUUGAAUUGAACGGGAUGGGUAACAACGGUCUUUAAGAGACACGGCCAUGUUAACUAUCGGUUCGCUAGCUUCUAUGGGUUCGGAGUCCGAAGAGGAUGACGAAGGAAUUUCCAUGAUCGGUCUAACUAAUCUAGACGUUUCGUUCCUAACCCAAGUAGUUCGCAUAAACAAGAUAGUAAACACGUAGCAAAUAAGUGCUAAAAAUUAAAACACACAAAAGAAAGGGUGUAAAAACGAAAUGAAAAACCUAAUUCUAUGGUUGCCUAAUAAAAUGACUAGACCUUGCUCCUAACCGUAAGUACCACCAAAAACUCGAUAAAUCAAAAAUUAUUCGGACCGGUUUGGCCAGUUUGGAGUAGGCAUUGCCAAGAGGCCAAUCUCCGCGCUUAGACACCAAACCUUAAUCGGCCAGGUAAGCUUUCGCUAGCCUUAGACACCGAAGAGUCGGAAUAAUUAAUGAUUACCUCGUUCUUUAGGUCCUUCCUAAUUGAGCGCGAAAUCCUAGGGGCUAACGUCUAAUUCAAUUUUAUUAAAGGCUUGGGAAAUGCAAAAUGAAGAAUUAAAUUGUUGUGGGCCAAGGAAAGAGUGAUGAAAUCCCUUCCCUUAUCUUAUGAGUGGGUUUUGCCCUUAAGAUUUAUUUAAAAUGAUGCACCACACAACGAGAUAAUAAAAGCGGUAAACAAAUAUGGAUGAUUUAAACUACGUGUCCUAAUCUAGAGAAAUAAAGAAAUUAACGUACCUUGGGGUCCUCCAGCGAUCACCACAAUUUAAGGUACGAAAAUUUAAAAACAAAAAUUAAAAUCUAGAUAUUGUGCUCCUAAGUGUUAAAAUGCAUGAUGCAACAAUUAUGUAAUUUUAGCUAAUAUUUUUGGAUUUUAAUAUUUUUAAUAUUUUUAUGAUUUUUUAAUUUUCAAUUUUUUUUGUGAUUUUCUAAAUAAAAAUAAAUUGAAAUAGGAGAGAGAUACAAGUUACCCAAGCAAGCUUCCAAUACUCCAAGAAUAUUCUCCACUUAUUCCAAGCUAGCUCAUAUUCCUCCAAUUUCUAAAAUUCAACCAAAAAGAAGUUAGAGAAUAAUAAUAAAAAACUAAUCCGAAAAAUUAAAAAUUAAGGCGCGAAAAUUAAUUUUAGUCCCCGGCAGCGGCGCCAAAAACUUGAUGUGCUAAAAAUAUUACAUUUAAAUCGCAAGCGCACGAUCACCGUUUUAAUAUUUUAGAUUCGUCCACAGAGAUUAAAAUUAUUUUUCGCAAUCCUUUAAUAAUUAACCUAGGCGAAUUAGAACAAUAUUUUUUUGUGAAAUUUGGUUUCAAAAUUAAAUCUAAAACUUUCCGAUUAACUAAUUAAAUCAUUGGCCAAAUUUUUAACUAAUUAAUUAUUCUAAAUUAUCUAGAAAAAUUAUAAACUAACUAAAAUAAGGAGCAUCUUGGCAUGAUUCAUUUAUAAGUCGCACACUCAAAACCACAAAACAAAAAGUAACUAGCAGGAUUCAGUUGAUUUAAUCCGAGUAGCCACAAACAAAUGAACAAUUCUUUAUAGGAAAACUACAUAGCACUAACAAAGAACUUCAGCCAAAUAAAACAAAACAAAACGGAAACAAAAAAAUAAAGCAAGACAAAUAGGAAGCACGUUGAUAAAUCAGCAGAAACCAAUUACGAAACACCUACACUACAGAAAUAAAACCCAGCUCGCGACCAUAGUCACAAAACAGACUCAAACCUCUAUACUAACAACUCGGAACUCCUGUGCUCAUCCUAACAAAACUAAACCUACCAAAACACACCAAAAACAAACUUCCAAAACGCAGCAACUCACUGAUUUGUGACUCAACUAAAGAAGAAAGCAGAGCAGGGCCAAAACUCGGCAGAAUAAAGUGAAAACAAAGAGAAAUUGCUCAAAAUAAUCAUCCAUUCACAGCCUGGACUCAAACUAAAACAGCUCGACUCCAGACUCAAACAAAUCGCAGCAAAAACUACUCAAACUCGAACUAGCGACUCGGAGAGGGAAGACACGACUCAGUACAAAACAUACAACUCAGCUGCGCAAAUACAGAAACAAAACCAGUAAUGAAACCUGAGACUCGAUUUCUAUGACUAGAAGAACAGACUCGGAACGAACUCAACGCAGCAAUCGACAAACAGACUCGAAACAGAAGAAAUUAUGAACUCGGCACAAAUUAAACAACACAACUCGGUGAAGACUCGUGCGAAAACAAAAUAAAAACUCUGACUCAGAACAGCGGAACUCGACUCUGUUUACACAACACCCAGGCGACUCGGCGAGCUCGGACAGAACUCGGUGCAAAAUAGAACAGUAAAGCGAAGCAAGAAAGAAGCAAACAAACCUAGCCAAUACAUACAAUCUAACAGAAAUCGACUCAGUAGCGACUCACCAAAAACAGGAUUGAACGACUCAACUAAACGAAACCAGAAAACACUCGGCUACAGCUACAAAACGCAACUCGGGAGAUGACUCAACUGACUCGAAAACUCUGUGAAAUCGGUGUACAGCGAAAUAGACUCGUAAACAAAAGCAAAGAAAGCAAAAACAGAGGAGGUAGUCGACUGUGUGUAAAACAAUGGACAGGGGAGGGGAGUUUGACUAAAACGAAAAUAAAAACUGGGGAAAGGGAAAUGGGUUUUAGACAUUAAAACAAAUAUUCUUCACUCGAAUACAUAAUUUAAGAUUAUAGCUGCUGAGAUUUUAUGAAAACAAAACUGAAAUCCUGAAUUAGCACUAAUAUAUAGUAGCUUUUAAAUCUAGAUUUUUAACCCCCACACAAAUUAUUUUUGUGCUAGAGCUUUUACCUUCUUCUUAAAAAUUAAAACUAAAAAGUGAUAGUUCUACACUAAUCACAAGGUUGAUGAUUCUUCAUUUCCCAAAAGCUUAAAAGCAUGUGGUGGUACUUAGAAGAGUCAUUCAACUUGGAGAACAUAAAUUAAAAAGACAAUACAAUAUUAAGCCAAAAGAAAUUUGCAUAGAAAUUAAAAAGUGUUUACAAAUAUGGUAUGAAAUUGAGAGAACAAAAGAAGAUCUAGCACUAUACUACCUACCAACUAGGAAAAGACUAGGUUAAAAAGAUUAUAAUUACAAGUAAAGGGGUGGGGGUAUUUAUAGCUAAAAAUGUAGGGUUUAGGGGUAGGGUGGCUAAAUCUAAUCCAUCCAUGUGGGAUGUGUGUUGGGUAGAUCAUAGCCUUCCAUGUGUCCCCUUACUUGCCAACUUUCUUUGAUUUUCUUCUUUUCUUUUCUUUUUCUCCCUUUUUCUUGCAUUUUCUCUUCUUUCUUUAUUUAUCUACAAUUUCCUGAAAUAAAAUAAAUAAGCAAUUAAUACUACGAAAAUAAACAAAAGAUAGGCACUUAAAUAUGCAAAAAUAUGGACUAAUCAAGCUCACCUUUCACAAUCAAAGAUUGUUCAUCAUUUACGGGUUUACACUUUCGGCAUGUCUAUAGCUGGUAUCCGGCAUGUAGAUAGCUGGG